Acipenser ruthenus (sterlet) is the source of this 1162-nucleotide long non-coding RNA. RefSeq lists it as uncharacterized. The record is from RefSeq and is a predicted model, not a curated record. NCBI's taxonomy places the organism in Eukaryota, Metazoa, Chordata, Actinopteri, Acipenseriformes, Acipenseridae. The transcript has 3 exons.
CUUUACAGCUGAAAGUUGCUCUUUUUGUUGUUUUUCUUGUGGCGGAUAUCUGCGACUGUUCUAAAGAGACAGAAAAUACUCCAUCUGAAAUAAAAGAAGAAAAGUGACAAUGCGGUUCAUUCAAAUCACCAUGAUAAAAUGCUGCAUCAGCCAGACACCCGUAACCGAAUACUCACAUAUAAGAGAACCAAAAAAAAUGAAAGAACACCAGAGCAUAAUUUUGUCUUAACUUCAAAACCAACGGUUGGAACAGAAACCCCAGAAUUGUUGUGCACCAGCAAUUGGAUAUCCAUAUGCUGUUCGAGGAAAUGACGCUGAUGUGAUUUUACCCAAUACUAGGCGAACGCAUUGCACCUUUGGAACUUCAGUAAAACAUACCCGCGUCUCUAACUCCCCUACAGUUUUGCGUCGGCUAGAAAUCUGCCCAGUGCUCUGAGCUUCUCAGAAAGCACGUGCUGAAUGAAUUCAUCUGCACCAGGAAGGCCCUUUAUCCGGUAUCUGCAGUCUGUGAAGGACGUCGCGCUACAGGAGCGCUGUCCGUGGUCCUGAAUAAUAGGAGGUGGAAUAUUCCAUUUGAAAGAAAACCAGAUUCAGAAAUACAGACAUUAUCAAAUCUUAAACAUAGUGUUUGACUGCAGAACAGCCCUGACCAUGAGAUUGAAAAGCAUGCAGCAACAACGCGAAGAACAGCACCACACAGUCCUAUUCUCUGAAGAUGGGAGACUGAAGGAGGCAGUGGUAGUGGGGGACAGCGUUACCGUGUUCUGUCAGGCUGACACCAUACUAGAUGCCAUAGCUGUCUUACUAGCAGUCUACUAUGUUUUUGAUUUCAGCUAUCCAAAAAUGUAUUCCCAGUUUCUGGGACUGUCACAAACAUAUCUAGGUGACAAAUCAAAAAAAAUAUGUGUUCUUUCUUAAAACACUUUGUAAAACAAUGAAAGGAACAUAGCUUUAUUGAAUCAGUCUGCGGAUUUAAUUUUUUUUUUUAAAGUAUCUGUUUCAAGAGUAAUCAGUUCAGUUGAAGUUUGUGUUUAUAAUGUUUAACCAACAAAAGUAUGACUAUAUGUGUUUAUUUUUUGUUUAAAUAAAUUAAUUAUUUGAAUAUUUAUUUAUUUAUUUAUUUAUUUAUUUAUUUAUUUAUUUAUUUAUUUAUGGUGUUUGC